AUGUUGACAAAUGAAAAUAAUUGGGCACCUUCUGAGCCAGCUCCUCAGCCAACUCCUGCUCCAAUUACUGAGCCUAUUCUUGAACCAACUCCGAAGAAGAGAGGUGUUCUAUUCCUCAGUCCCGAAGAUAUGCAAGAGGCAAAGAAAUCUAUGAAAGAAAAAGGUAUUAAAGCUGAAGAUGUUAAGAAUUUACCUCCUAUUGAAGAAAUGCAUGGUCUUAAUAUACCGCCUGUUGAAGAAACAUAUGGUCUCAAUUCUUUAUUUACUGAAGAACCUCCUGAUCCCGAUAUCCCAACACAGGUAGUAAAGGUAAAUUCUCUCUAUAGAUAUGAUAAAGCGGAAGUCCCUCCUACUAAAAUUGCUAGUCAGUGCUUGGAUGAGUUUGAUAACUUUAUGUUUAAGCAAGACGACUUCAAUGCUUAUUUUGGUAGACAAUUAAAAAAAAUGCUUAUAUGA
Molecule: ribosomal RNA, 456 nt
Filed under: Triticum aestivum (bread wheat)
Lineage: Eukaryota; Viridiplantae; Streptophyta; Magnoliopsida; Poales; Poaceae
Description: partial small subunit ribosomal RNA
Source: RNAcentral